UCCACGCAUACCGAAAAAAUGAGGCUGUGGCUGCAGGCAUCUUGUGACAAGGGGGAGCGAGAUGUGGGCUGGUAGGGAGCCCAGCUGUGAUGGCUCAGCCCUGGCUUGACUUCCCUGGCAGCCAGCCAUGGGAGGAAGGAAUUGAAUGCGCUGUAUCCGAGCCAAGGAUGCUGCAGGGAUGGGCAGCAUUUUUCCUUUACCUGAAGAAUGGGAUUGGACACCUGCCCAUCGCUGACUGAAGCCCACAUGUUCCCAACCAUACGGAGAUGCAUGUCCUGAAGAAAGAAAGCUGCCUGGAGUCAAACCCCAUUGAACGUGGUGGAACUUAUUUCCAAAUUUCAUGUGAACAGAACAAAUGACCUGGAAAUAGACUACAGCUGUAAACAUGUCUCACAUGCUCUGUGAUGAAUUUACAUUCUCACUAACUGGUGAGGCUGAUGUGCAACCCAUGCGGCCCACGGUUUCAAGUUCGGAAGAUAUGACACACUUAGAACCACUGG
Ahaetulla prasina is the source of this 500-nucleotide long non-coding RNA. RefSeq lists it as uncharacterized. Lineage: Eukaryota; Metazoa; Chordata; Lepidosauria; Squamata; Colubridae. The transcript is spliced from 4 exons. The record is from RefSeq and is a predicted model, not a curated record.